AACGUCACAACGCUUAGUUUCCAUUGAACAUGGAAAGCGGGGGAACCAAACGUCAUAGUAAUCUGCGAACUGAGUACAGUUCAUACUGCCUAUGACACGGGGUGAAUUCCGGAACCUUCCGGAACGGGCAAUCUUCCAGCCCGAACCCGACAGCUAACCUCGUCAGCGUAUCAGGGAGAACUU
This 183-nucleotide small RNA is filed under the name Paenibacillus bovis. RNAcentral describes it as "c-di-AMP sequence". It matches the Rfam family "c-di-AMP riboswitch aptamer (ydaO/yuaA leader)". Rfam says of the family: This family represents a conserved RNA structure found upstream of the ydaO and yuaA genes in Bacillus subtilis and related genes in other bacteria. The ydaO/yuaA element is thought to act as a genetic "off" switch for the ydaO and yuaA genes in its native state. Lineage: Bacteria; Bacillati; Bacillota; Bacilli; Caryophanales; Paenibacillaceae. The record is from Rfam by way of RNAcentral.